Molecule: long non-coding RNA, 4300 nt
Organism: Dermacentor silvarum
Lineage: Eukaryota; Metazoa; Arthropoda; Arachnida; Ixodida; Ixodidae
Exons: 6
Source: RefSeq, a predicted model, not a curated record
GCACUACCUUGUCGAAGAGGAAGCGUUAUCCUCUUUCAGAGUUAAAUAAUUUGUCGAGCAAUAAUUUUACAGUUCCAGCAACUACAGCAUAAACUGGAAAACGAAACCGAAUCUGAUUUGUUAUCCGUGCUCACAGAGCGCGUCACCAGGGGGCACCGUGCGCUGCGCCUCCGGUCUCGAAGGAUCUAACAAGCGGUUGAUGCAGCUGCGAAUGUGUAGUCAGUCGGUUUUUAUCGUUUUAUGUUGUGCAGAUUGUUAGUUCGCCGUAAAUUUGUCUUGAUUUGUACUCAAGAGUGGAGCAAGGCCCCAAGGAACAGAGAUUGACGCAACGGGAGCGAAGAACAGAAGCGAUGGAUGGUUACGCUGGUUGACUCUCGGCAUGUUCAAAAUGGCGAAGUUCCGAAUUUGUCGCUGUGUGACGUGCGCGUGUGUGCUCGUGAUGUGCCGUCAUAGCGCGGGGAUAUUUGUGCUGAAUGUGUUUCACUUCGUCUACAAAACUCUGCACGCAAUGGCAUCGAAGAAGUCGUGUGUUCAGGUGCACGUAUGUGCAUGCUUGGAUACGGAAAGCCUGCCCUCAACGGUAGCGCUGAGCUCAGCCGUGUUGGCUCAGCGCUACCCCCUCAACGGAUGUUCAACAGUCUACGUGCUCGUAACUUGCUGACGAGACCUCCUUGCUGUUGCAACUCUGAGGACAAUUGCUUCAAAUGGGAAGGAACAAAGAGCACUGCCAGCGCUAUUUGUACAUGAGGACACCUCCUUGCUGUUGCAACUCUGAGGACAAUUGCUUCAAAUGGGAAGAAACAACCAGCAGUGCCAGCGCUAUUUUUACAUGAGGACACCUCCUUGCUGUUGCAACUCUGAGGACAAUUGCUUCAAAUGGGAAGAAACAACCAGCAGUGCCAGCGCUAUUUUUACAUGAGGACACCUCCUUGCUGUUGCAACUCUGAGCACAAUUACUUCAAAUGGGAAGGAACAACCAGCAGUGCCAGCGCUAUUUGUACAUGAGGACGACGAGAGGGUUCCACUCACCCCCUGUGUGGUGUAUUCUGGCCACAACCUGGAACAGGCAGAGUUUCUCCACCUCUGUGUCGACAAGGAGCGGCUGUUCAUGGUCAAAAAUGCGGAGGAAGGGGUCAUCGCAAUCAUGAGUGCAUUUUUUUAUUGAACAUAGUAUAUGGGCCUAAAUACUUCAACACCAGUGCAGUACUGGAACGAUUGUUUUUUCGUUUGAAUGUAAUAAUGCCAAGGGGUUGUUACAAAGUUUGUGAACAGAGUUGUGCAGGCAAUGCGACACCGAGGUUCAUGUACGUUACCAUACGAAUGCUAGCCUGACAAUUUUGUGCAAUAGCUUGAGCAAUAGUUUUGUGCAAUUUUUAAUGUAUCAUUUUCUUUCUUUUGAUCACGAUAAUAGCAUGAUCCAGUAACUUCCGCUGCUUGUGCCAACCACCUAUAGACUGCACCUUUUUUUGUUCUGAUGACUUGACAGACAAUGUAAUAGUGCCCAAGUGUAGGUUAGCAAAAACAAACGGGGUGUACUGUAGUCUGCACGUACUUAUCGAAAACGUUGGUGUAGUCUGCACGUACUUAUCGAAAACGUUGGUGGGUGUUGCUAUGUGCUGAAAAGAAUAUUACAAUACGUCUAGUUCUAAUGAGGUCUGCCUUAACAUUAAUGUGUGUGAAACAAUUGUCAGCAGUUUUAUACAAAGAUUAUAGCUUGCUUGCUCUUCCUUAACAUAGUUUGUUUAUGAAACCUAUUUGCCAGUCAGGGAACAAUGUCCCAGCUUAUAAGUACUGCAUGAUACAACUGUUAACGUUUGUAUUCCCUUAUAGGGCACAUCAACACUGGCAGCCAGUGCUCAACUUUUCGUAACAUGCUGCUUGGUCAAUAUUUUAUAUUUUGCGCAUGUGUUGCAUUGUGUAACCUACCCAAUACAAGUGAAAGUUUUUGUGGUUUGACUGUCCUUUUAUGAACUAUGUCUUAUGUUUAUUAUGUAUAACUUAGCAGCUGAGGCCUGACAUACUAGUCAAAACGCAGCAGAGUAUCCAAUUUUUAUAAGGUUUUACAAGGUUUUUACAAGUUUUGGAUUGUAAAACAAUGUUGCGUGGAACAAUUAUCAGGCUGAAGUACUGUUACAUUAUCAUGAAUACCGGCAGCCUUUGCUUAACCUUUAUGAAUCUGCUGGCAAGCUGUAGUAUCUUUAGCUCGUUUAGUUUUUGUACAUGUGUUGCCAAUGCCUCAUCCGCGUGAAAGCUAGUCGCUUAUAUACUACAUAUACUGGUGUUUCUACAAAGAAUUUACGUAAUAUUUAAAAAUAGUCGUUCUGAAGUACAAGGACGGCUCGUUAGAAGACAGCAAUGCUGUCAGUGGUGCCGACCAUGGGUGGAUGGGUGAUAUCUGGUAAUUAGUUGCUAAUUAACAAUCUAAUAUAUCUUUUAGUUUCAGCAGACUCAUUGUAACCAGGAAAUUAAAGCAAGCUCUCUGCACAAGACGUGAACUUUUGGAUCUGGAAAAAUACAAUUACCCGCAGAACUGUGGCGUGAUGAAUUUAGGCUGUCUGAGCACGCGAAACUGAAACUGAGAUGCUGCUGAAACUCAAGGCAACAUUUUGCUUACGUCGCCCAGCAGCGGGCUACCAGCACACUGCACGAAUCCCUAUUGCUGCCCACUGUUGGGUGAUGUGAGCAGAACGCCCCCUCGAAGGGCGCGUCUUUGUGCUCACUGUAGCCUCGGGUACAGUUUCGCGUGCUGUGAUAGCCAAAGUUCAUCGUGCUGCAGUUGUGUGGGUAAUUGCAUUUUUUCCAGAUUCUAAAGUCUAUAUGUGUUGUGCAGAGACCUUGCUUCAAUUUCCCGAUUACGAUGAGUCCACUCAAACUAAAAAUAAAAUAUAGGAACCAUUGUUAAAAGCGCAAAUCCACACAACACAAGAUAAGACCAGACGAGGACAGGCGCCUGUCCUCGUCUGGUCUUAUCUUGUGUUGUGUGGUUUUGCGCUUUUAACAAUGGUUCCUAUGACUAAACACCAACUAGCCCAACAGUCUACUCUUUUAAAAAUAAAAUGUAUUUUAUUUUUGUUAUUUAGCAACUAAUUACCAUGUAUCACCCAUAACCUCGUGGUCGACACUGCUGGUGGCAUAUCUCCAAAGGAACCGUUGUUUUAUUUCAGAACGGCUGUUUUUACAUAUCAGCAAUGUGUUUGUAGAAACACCCUUACAGAGUUGUGUGAUAUACUGUUGAACAAAUCUUAUUGUGUACUCAGGUGAAAUAUGCACAGAUAAAGAGCAGUUAUACACGGUGUCACCUCUAUUAUAAUGUACUAUAAUUUUUUUGUGUGAAGGCCACCACAGUUUUUUUUUGCAAAUGGCUGCUCUGUUUUUACUCACUCGUACUCUCUCACUUGUACUCAGUAUACACGUAUAUUAUACCACAGAUAUACUGUGAUCCAUGUGAAUUACUGUGAUCAGUUGCAAACUAUAUAUUGUUAACUGCAGUGAUACUUUACAAAUAAUGUCUGUAUUUUAUUGCUCCUUGUAUGAAAUACAAUAAAGUUCAUUCACAUUUUCUUUUCAAAUUGUUACAUAUAGGUCUCAUAUAUAUGCUUCACCAUUUAGUUAAGCUUUGCAUUUUUGUACGAAUGCAGCAGUGACUUCUUUUGUAUGUCCAUGGAGUGAAGCAGAAUACAUAUUAGCCAGAGAUCUAAGACAUGCUAAAUGUGAUGUUUUUGUGUGUGUAUAGUGCAUGUGUACGAUACGUAUAACUUGUGUUUGAAUUGUAUAGCUUGAGCAGAUUUUAAAAAAAGUGAUACAUCUCCGAUGACUGAGACCAUGAUGCAUAUUGAACUCCUGCAUGAGACAACAUGCACUUUUCAAAGCACGGCUCAUGGAAUAAUAUUUUAAAUCUCCACAUGCAUUAUACAUAUAUAUUGUUUAACUAUAAUUUAACUUAAAAAAAAACAUUUAAGUUCAGGCAACUGUAAGCAAUAUGCCAUAGGUCUCAUUCAUCUAUAAAGUGUUCCACUUUAAAGUUCGGUUCAAGCUAUUUGACAUCUGGUACAGGGGCUGUACACCCAUCUGGCACCCUCCACAGUGGGUGUUAAAUAAGGAAAAAUAAAUGAAGGGUGUAGCUGCCACCCUUCGGUUGGGGUGUUAUCACAACACCCUACAGUUUCUUUACAUGGGCACCCUUGUUUUAGGGUGUGCCGAAAAGGCACCUUGUAAAAUAGGUGCUAACUUACACCCUUAGGGUGUCGUCUCUGCGACAAGCCUAUUUACACCCUUCUGGGUGUAAAAACUUUUACUGUGU